Non-coding RNA from Phrynosoma platyrhinos (Desert horned lizard), 72 nucleotides. Lineage: Eukaryota; Metazoa; Chordata; Lepidosauria; Squamata; Phrynosomatidae. The record is from the annotation of a GenBank genome assembly.
GCCAGUGUGCUGUAGUGGCUUGAGCAUUGGACUAUGACUCAGGAGACCAGGGUUUGAAUCCCUGCCUGGUCA